This 253-nucleotide ribosomal RNA is filed under the name uncultured bacterium. Its description in RNAcentral is "partial 16S ribosomal RNA". It matches the Rfam family "Bacterial small subunit ribosomal RNA", at positions 524 to 776 of the family's 1533-position model. The record is from RNAcentral.
UACGGGGGGGGCAAGCGUUGUUCGGAAUUACUGGGCGUAAAGGGCUCGUAGGUGGCCAACUACGUCAGACGUGAAAUCCCUCGGCUUAACCGGGGAACUGCGUCUGAUACUGGAUGGCUUGAGUUUGGGAGAGGGACGCGGAAUUCCAGGUGUAGCGGUGAAAUGCGUAGAUAUCUGGAGGAACACCGGUGGCGAAGGCGGCGUCCUGGACCAACACUGACACUGAGGAGCGAAAGCCAGGGGAGCAAACGGG